UAAGUUCCUUGAAAAUAAAAAAGCAAUCAAGCAUUGCAUUUCAUGCAUCAUUUGCAUAAGCAGGUUUCUCUUUUGCCAGAUGUCUCAUUGGUGUUUCUUCUGUGCCUCAGCCAAACUGACUCAUCGGUACAAUACUCGCGCCAACCACUCCAGAAUUAUGGAACAUCUCAAGUAGGAGAAUAGAUAUUUGAAAGAGGAUAUCGCUCGCCUGACUACUAUGAUGGAGUCAGUUCUAUCUGCACAGAGCUAAU
Molecule: long non-coding RNA, 251 nt
Filed under: Lathyrus oleraceus (garden pea)
Lineage: Eukaryota; Viridiplantae; Streptophyta; Magnoliopsida; Fabales; Fabaceae
Description: Pisum sativum (pea) long non-coding RNA (PSAT_LNC018256)
Source: RNAcentral